GAUGGAGUGGGGGAGAGAAAGAGAGUGGGGGAGAAAGAGGAGAGGGAAAGAGUUUCAUUGGAUUCCUCCCUCUCUCCCUCCCUCCCUCCCUCUCCCUGCUCUU
Podarcis lilfordi (Lilford's wall lizard) is the source of this 103-nucleotide non-coding RNA. NCBI's taxonomy places the organism in Eukaryota, Metazoa, Chordata, Lepidosauria, Squamata, Lacertidae. The record is from the annotation of a GenBank genome assembly.